CACAGAACUAGAAACAUUGUGCCCCUUGAUUUUACCAACUAUGUUUAAAUUGCCCUGGAUUCACAAGAGACUCCGCCAUACCUCGCGACUUUAGGAUGACCACUUGCGGAAAUUCAGAACUCUUGGCAUGGCUGCGCAUGGAGGCCACCUGUGAUCCCUAGGAGGGAGCUGGGCAAACAGGCCAUUCCAGGAUUAUCACCCAGAAGCCAGUGAGGAGCAGGACAGGACAGUGGCCUGGGAUGCAUCAGGAAACAACCCUUUCCCUCAGCAGAAGCACACAGCAGUCACAUUUACUGAAAGGUUCUUUGGCUUUCC
Molecule: long non-coding RNA, 315 nt
Filed under: Fukomys damarensis (Damara mole-rat)
Lineage: Eukaryota; Metazoa; Chordata; Mammalia; Rodentia; Bathyergidae
Description: lncRNA (ENSFDAG00000022433.1)
Source: RNAcentral